This 397-nucleotide ribosomal RNA is filed under the name uncultured bacterium. RNAcentral's name for it is "partial 16S ribosomal RNA". It matches the Rfam family "Bacterial small subunit ribosomal RNA", at positions 523 to 918 of the family's 1533-position model. The record is from RNAcentral.
AUACGUAGGGGGCGAGCGUUGUCCGGAAUGAUUGGGCGUAAAGGGCGCGUAGGCGCCCCGGUAAGUCUGGAGGGAAAGUCCUGUUUUUAAGAUGGGAAUUGCUUUGGAUACUGUCGGGCUUGAGUGCAGGAGAGGUAAGUGGAAUUCCCGGUGUAGCGGUGAAAUGCGUAGAGAUUGGGAGGAACACCAGUGGCGAAGGCGACUUACUGGACUGUAACUGACGCUGAGGCGCGAAAGUGUGGGGAGCAAACAGGAUUAGAUACCCUGGUAGUCCACACUGUAAACGAUGAAUGCUAGGUGUAGGGGGUAUCGACCCCUUCUGUGCCGCAGUCAACACAAUAAGCAUUCCGCCUGGGGAGUACGGCCGCAAGGUUGAAACUCAAAGGAAUUGGCGGGG